GGGGAUACUGACGAUUGUAUUGUUAAACAAUAGUUCUUUUGAAUAAUGUAGUGCAUGUCUUGAUACUGACUGUUAUUUGAUAUAUAUAGUUGUUUUUUUCUAUUUUGUUUUGGCUCCGAUUGUGACUGAGGCUUAUGGUGCUAUCAUAUUAUAUCAUAUUAUUAUUGUUGUAAAGUCUUUAUGUUGAUCCAAUCAUUAUACCGC
This 204-nucleotide long non-coding RNA is filed under the name Mytilus galloprovincialis (Mediterranean mussel). Lineage: Eukaryota; Metazoa; Mollusca; Bivalvia; Mytilida; Mytilidae. The record is from RNAcentral.